UCGAGUCGGCCUGCGCGGAAGAUGUAACGGGGCUAAACCAUGCACCGAAGCUGCGGCAGCGACACUGUGUGUUGUUGGGUAGGGGAGCGUUCUGUAAGCCUGUGAAGGUGUGUCGUGAGGCAUGCUGGAGGUAUCAGAAGUGCGAAUGCUGACAUAAGUAACGAUAAAGCGGGUGAAAAGCCCGCUCGCCGGAAGACCAAGGGUUCCUGUCCAACGUUAAUCGGGGCAGGGUGAGUCGACCCCUAAGGCGAGGCCGAAAGGCGUAGUCGAUGGGAAACGGGUUAAUAUUCCCGUACUUGGUGUUACUGCGAAGGGGGGACGGAGAAGGCUAUGUUGGCCGGGCGACGGUUGUCCCGGUUUAAGCGUGUAGGUGUGUGUUCCAGGUAAAUCCGGUUCACUUUAACACUGAGGCGUGACGACGAGGCACUACGGUGCUGAAGCAACAAAUGCCCUGCUUCCAGGAAAAGCCUCUAAGCAUCAGGUAACAUCAAAUCGUACCCCAAACCGACACAGGUGGUCAGGUAGAGAAUACCAAGGCGCUUGAGAGAACUCGGGUGAAGGAACUAGGCAAAAUGGUGCCGUAACUUCGGGAGAAGGCACGCUGACACGUAGGUGAAGUGAUUUACUCAUGGAGCUGAAGUCAGUCGAAGAUACCAGCUGGCUGCAACUGUUUAUUAAAAACACAGCACUGUGCAAACACGAAAGUGGACGUAUACGGUGUGACGCCUGCCCGGUGCCGGAAGGUUAAUUGAUGGGGUCAGCGCAAGCGAAGCUCCUGAUCGAAGCCCCGGUAAACGGCGGCCGUAACUAUAACGGUCCUAAGGUAGCGAAAUUCCUUGUCGGGUAAGUUCCGACCUGCACGAAUGGCGUAAUGAUGGCCAGGCUGUCUCCACCCGAGACUCAGUGAAAUUGAACUCGCUGUGAAGAUGCAGUGUACCCGCGGCAAGACGGAAAGACCCCGUGAACCUUUACUAUAGCUUGACACUGAACAUUGAGCCUUGAUGUGUAGGAUAGGUGGGAGGCUUUGAAGUGUGGACGCCAGUCUGCAUGGAGCCGACCUUGAAAUACCACCCUUUAAUGUUUGAUGUUCUAACGUGGACCCGUUACCCGGGUUGCGGACAGUGUCUGGUGGGUAGUUUGACUGGGGCGGUCUCCUCCUAAAGAGUAACGGAGGAGCACGAAGGUUGGCUAAUCCUGGUCGGACAUCAGGAGGUUAGUGCAAUGGCAUAAGCCAGCUUGACUGCGAGCGUGACGGCGCGAGCAGGUGCGAAAGCAGGUCAUAGUGAUCCGGUGGUUCUGAAUGGAAGGGCCAUCGCUCAACGGAUAAAAGGUACUCCGGGGAUAACAGGCUGAUACCGCCCAAGAGUUCAUAUCGACGGCGGUGUUUGGCACCUCGAUGUCGGCUCAUCACAUCCUGGGGCUGAAGUAGGUCCCAAGGGUAUGGCUGUUCGCCAUUUAAAGUGGUACGCGAGCUGGGUUUAGAACGUCGUGAGACAGUUCGGUCCCUAUCUGCCGUGGGCGCUGGAGAACUGAGGGGGGCUGCUCCUAGUACGAGAGGACCGGAGUGGACGCAUCACUGGUGUUCGGGUUGUCAUGCCAAUGGCACUGCCCGGUAGCUAAAUGCGGAAGAGAUAAGUGCUGAAAGCAUCUAAGCACGAAACUUGCCCCGA
Molecule: ribosomal RNA, 1670 nt
Filed under: Salmonella enterica
Lineage: Bacteria; Pseudomonadati; Pseudomonadota; Gammaproteobacteria; Enterobacterales; Enterobacteriaceae
Also listed under: 1 other name
Description: partial 23S ribosomal RNA
Rfam family: Bacterial large subunit ribosomal RNA
Source: RNAcentral